RNAcentral lists this unclassified non-coding RNA (239 nucleotides) under Glomeraceae sp. Its description in RNAcentral is "partial contains 5.8S ribosomal RNA and internal transcribed spacer 2". The stretch from base 1 to 71 matches the Rfam family "5.8S ribosomal RNA", at positions 84 to 154 of the family's 154-position model. The record is from RNAcentral. Lineage: Eukaryota; Fungi; Glomeromycota; Glomeromycetes; Glomerales; Glomeraceae.
GUGAAUCAUCGAAUUUUUGAACGCAAAUUGCACUCUCUGGUAACCCGGGGAGUAUGCCUGUUUGAGGGUCAGCCUAUAAAAAAUCGACAUCUUUGCUGUUUCGCGGUGGCGUUCGUCGUUAAUUGGGUUAUCUUAAAUCCUUUUGGGUUUUAAUCGACGUAAACUUUUCUUUUUGGUUCCAUGAACGUUUCUAAGAUUUAUUUCUUUACACGUUUAAGGUAUCGAUUUUUAUUAGACGU